UACGUAGGUGGCAAGCGUUGUCCGGAUUUACUGGGCGUAAAGAGCGCGCAGGCGGUCGUUCAAGUCGCGUGUGAAAGCCCCCGGCUCAACUGGGGAGGGUCACGCGAUACUGAUCGACUCGAAGGCAGGAGAGGGUAGUGGAAUUCCCGGUGUAGUGGUGAAAUGCGUAGAUAUCGGGAGGAACACCGGUGGCGAAGGCGGAUCUCUGGGCCUUACCUGACGCUGAGGCGCGAAAGCUAGGGGAGCGAACAGG
RNAcentral lists this ribosomal RNA (253 nucleotides) under uncultured bacterium. RNAcentral describes it as "partial 16S ribosomal RNA". It matches the Rfam family "Bacterial small subunit ribosomal RNA", at positions 524 to 776 of the family's 1533-position model. The record is from RNAcentral.